This 681-nucleotide long non-coding RNA is filed under the name Homo sapiens (human). RNAcentral's name for it is "LHRI_LNC1182.1". The record is from RNAcentral. Lineage: Eukaryota; Metazoa; Chordata; Mammalia; Primates; Hominidae.
AGCUGAGACUACCCACACCUUGGUCCCAGCUACUUGGGAGGCUGAGGUGGGAAAAUCACUUUGCCCAGGAAUUCAAGGCCGCAGUGAGCUAUGAUUGCACCACUGCACUCCAGGCAACAGAGUGAGACCCUGUCUUAAAAAAAAGAAGGGAGAAAGUGUCAGAUGGUGAUGAGGUCUGGGGGGGAAAUAGAGAAUGGGGAUCAGGAGUGUGGAUGGUGAUAUUCCCUCACCAAGAGGUGACAUGUGAGCAGGGAGCUGGGAGGUGAGGGUGUGACCCGUGUGGAAAUCAGGGAAAAGCAUUCCAGCCUGAGGGAACAGCCAAUGCAGAGGCCGUGAGGUGGCCAGUGCCACUGAGCAGUGAGCUGGGAUAGGGGCAGGUGAGGAGGCUGGAGAGCGGGGUCAGACAAACAAUAUGCUUAUUAAAACAAGUUGUACAGCACCUGCCUCAAGCCUGAGCUGAAGCUGAAAAUUGGCACUUCAAAGCAGGAGGAAGCAGAGAUGGAGGAAAGCCCUCCUUCCCUACCAGAAUGAGUCCACCUCAGACAGCCAGACUUUGGACCUCUGCCUUUGUUCCUAGAUCUCUGUUGCUAGAUGAAGGAAAGGGCCUCAGGGGAUCCAUCUUCAAAUCAAGGGCUCCCUGGCUACCAAAUUCUGUCUAGUAAAAAUUAUUCGAGCAGCGUG